RNAcentral lists this long non-coding RNA (6940 nucleotides) under Gallus gallus (chicken). Its description in RNAcentral is "lncRNA (ENSGALG00010018164.1)". Lineage: Eukaryota; Metazoa; Chordata; Aves; Galliformes; Phasianidae. The record is from RNAcentral.
CUGCAUCUGAUUCAAACCAGCAUGGGUAGGAAGUGCUGCCUCGAGGGGGGAGGAGUUCAGAUGCAAAUCCAGCUGCCCCCAAGCCUGGGCUAUAAAACUGCUCAGUGGGGGAAGGAGCAAACCAGAUUUGUGAUGUUUGGGUGGAAAGAAGAGGCGUGCAGAGCUUUCUGCAGUGAUUUUUUUUCCACCUGGAUUUAUGCCCUUUGUCUUUCUAUCAUCAUUCAAAUUGCUGGGGUUGCUCUGGGGAAAAGCUUCACAUUUUUUUCUGGCUGGAUUUGUGUGAGUGUGGAGGUGCAUUCUUUCAAACAUCCCUCGCUGUACAAAAAUGUACAGAAACAAUGGUCUCUGCAAGGAGCUAUGUGAAAAGGGAGCAAAUGGGGAGGAUGAAUCACAGUGCUACAGAAUCAUUGAGGUUGGAAAAGACCUCUGUGAUCACCAAGUCCAACCCCAACCCACCCCACCGUGCCCACUGACCACAUCCUUCAAUGCCACAUCUCCAUGGUCACUGAACACCUCCAGGGGCGAUGACUCCACCACGCAGCUGUUUCAGGCAAGCUCCAUCCUGAACCUGAUUUCCUGAGACCAACAAAGGAAAUAACCACUGUGCCCAAGGCUAUUUAAAACUCCCUCUGUGAUGCACAAGUCACACGCGCUCAUGAAAUCACUGCAGACAUUACACGCGAUGUCAUCGCGGCGCCAGCAGAAGGAUGUGGGAGCUCUCCUCGUUGCCUCUCCUCCUUGGACCAACUUCCCACCCAUUUGUCCCGCUGGGCUGCUGCCCUCCAGCAGUGAUAGGGCAGCUGAGGAGCCCAAGUCCUGUUGACUUGCAAGGGGCUUAAAUUGAUACCUCCUGAUCUGCACCACUUCUUCCGAAUGGAGUUUCUCCCUCUUCACAACGUCUCACUCUGCAUUGUCCUCCAGCUCAGGAUGUGCCUCUCAGCCUGCCUUCAGGGAGGAAGACCGAUUAUUCCUGCUUUUAAGAACCACUCCCUAACGAACUCAUGUGUUCUUCCAUUCUGCAUCUGGCUCUCAGAUUGCCUGAGAUCGUUUCCUCCCCCUUCUUGGUAUUUGCAAAUAAAGUAUUUACAGUUGAAUUCGGGUGGCAGCCUGUGUUGCGCCGGGGUGUUUCGGAGGAUGCUGUGGGUCAGCAUGGCCCUGUGCUGCUGCAGGAAGAUGGGACACUGCCACCGCAGCCCCAGAAACCGAGGGGGUCACUGCAAGGCUGUCAGCCACAGCUUGUUACCUGAGCGACGGGCAGGAACAAGGACUGAAAUCAGAGAGCUACACAGAAAAUCUCACUGCGUUCAGAACUGUGGUCUGUCCUGCAUGCUAACUGCUGUCAAUUACUUAUUUUUCGCAUCCUGGGCAUUGACAUCAGCUGACGAUGCUUUGAGAUCUAACCUGAACCAUCCCAACGCGUUCCCCUGCCAUCUGCCCAGAGAGCAGGGAACACCAGUCCAGGAGUCAAUCUUGGGGGGGGUUCAAGAGCAUCCGUGUGCUUGCAUCCGUGGACCACUGUAUCUAGAAACUUUCCCUGCUGGCAGACACACGUCCCUGCUUGGCUCACACACCUGGCACUUCUCCACCCGUCCCCUUCAGCAAAGGUGUUUGAGUUGCUCACGGUGGUACAGCCUUGGUGACAUCGCUGCCAGCUCUGCGACAAGAAGACAGCACUCUGGUGUCCUCCGUCAUGUCAUCCCUAUGGAGCCCAGGGACAAAACUUCAUGAGUCUGGCCAGGAGGAGCAGGAGAGAGCUGAUAACCCCAUCCCUUCCACGUCUUGGGCUUACAGUAACCUCGGAUGCCACGGGGCAAAUUCCGCAGUGCUGCUUAAGGUGCCAUAAUUUAGAGCCUCUCAGCUUUGCUAAGGCUCCCUGAGCACCACGUGCCCCCUGUCUGCUGAUGCAUAAAGUAACCUGAAUCAGUGUAAUUUAUGCACCAAUGAAAAGGUGCAAGCUAAAAUACCUCCCAGCCUAAAAUAGCCUCUAAGUGAGAAGAGGGAGAGGAAGGGGCAUCUUAGCUUUAUGCCCCAUAGAGCACCAGCUCUGAAUUUGGCCCUGGGCCUCAAAGCUUUUAAAAACAGAGUAAUUUUGAUUUGGAGGAGGUCACACGUGCCCUUGUGCACAUCUCCCCUGCUUUAUUUGAGUCCUGGCCCACGCGAGGAGAGCAAGAGCAAGCUGAGGGCUGGCAGAGCUGCAUGCUGGUGCGUGGCAAGCUGAUUUUCCACCUCUUGUUGCUACCCUGCCUGUGUGCAUCUCUGCAAAGCAGAGAUAGAGCAGGGCCAUUCCCCUUGGUAGCAACAAAGCAGCAGCCCCUCCACACGUCAGCAGCUCAGCACGUUCCAUAUGACCGUCUUUUAUCACAUUGGUGCUCCCUUUAAGCACAGGACAAGUUGUUUUCCAUCCGUGCAGCUGUCUCAGGACCACAUGGAUUUACUGCUAUCAAUGCUUUGCGCUGACCCGAAUAUUUCCAAAAUUUAUGUCACCCUGCCCAGUGCACACUUAGUGCUUAAUUGUCACCGCAGGCACUGCUAAUAUCCAUACCCUGUGACCUGUCUGCAACCCAGGCCAGUCAGUGCUGCUGUGACGUGUGCUGGCAAUGGUGAGCGUCACGGCUGAUGCCUGGCUGUGACAUUAUGUGCCUGUGACAUGUGCAUCAACCUCGGGGUAAGUGAGCUGAUGUAGAAAGCAAUGAAUAAACGUCCUCAGGUUUGAGGAGGGGAUGCUGUCAAAGGCUUUCCAAAAAUAGUUGGUAACUGGCUUUGUAUGAGGCUUAUUCUUGCCUGGGAUGGGCUCUCAGAAGCGUCAAAUCUGCACAUUCCUCCCUGAGUGCAUCCCUGUGCCCCAGGACCACGCUCCCCAAACACAGCACUGUGGCUCUGGGCUGUGUGUGCCCAGCAGAACAUCACUGUCCCCUGCUGUCUGGGGACAGCUGGCAGGGUUCAGGACAGGAACACAAACCCUAGGUGUGUGCUAUGCCUUGCUUGGCUGUGUCACCAGCACAAAUCCAUCUCGGACCCUCUGGGUGCCCCAGGUAAACCCAUCCCCUCCUCUCCCAACCUCAGGCUCCAGGUGAGGGGUUCCCUCUGCAGGCUCCCGUGUGAGAGCUCGCAUGGAUCUGUGAGCGCAUGCAAAGGGAAGCCUUGAGAGCUACAACUCACCCAAACCGUCACGAUUCCAUUUAUUUUUACAUUAAAUGUUUCUGCUUUAUGAAAGGAAUAAAAGAACUGCAACAACCACAAUGAAAUAAGAGAGCGAAUGCCCAGAGGUAACUACAGUAUAAAAUCAUAUUCAUCAUAUCAUAAUAUUUUACAUUUGCUUGUUGUUUUACGUGGAUUACAGCCCCCUCAACACACGAUCCAACAGCAGCAGGAGAGGAAGGGCAGCAAGAAUGAGUCCCUGGCUCACAGGGCACGAGCUGAGGGCACCGUCCCCUUCAGGGCCUGACAGUGCCAUCCAGCAUGGCUGCUGGGUGGCCUUUGAGCAACCUGGGCUCAAGGGAGGUGUCCCUGCCUAUAGCAGGAGGGUUGGAACUGGAAGACCUUAAGGGUCCCUUCCAACCCAAACCUUUCUACAAUUCUAUUAAGGGAGUCCCCAAGCCACGUGGGAUGGGAGCAUUACUCAUCUCCUGAAAGGCUUCAGACCAAGAUUAAAUGCCUUCCCGGAGCUACCUUCUAAUAACAUGUGCUUGAUGAGGUGCAGAGGAGAGUUUGGACUGCACCCACCAACCUCUCACACCGGAGCUCAGCAGUUGCUGACUUCCAAGCAGCUCCCAAAGGCAUCUUCUUCCAAAAGAACUGCUAACCCCCUAACUUGGGUGAGAGCAUGGGAUGCGUUUGGGAGCAAUAGGGCCUUUGUUGUUGUUGUUUUUUUCCUGUUUGUUUGCUUCUGGCAAAGAAGGGAAUAACUGAAGCAGACCUUGCUUCUCAGUCCUGAGCUGUGACAGUGCCUGUGGAGGCAGUUUGGUGUUUGCAGGACAGUGCAUUCACCUGAAGUUCAAGACAGCAGCUUCUGCUGAUGGCAGGCUGCGUGUCUUUUCCUGCAUAAAAUCCAACAUGACAUUUACUACCCUUCUUACAAUGCUUUUAAAUAUCUUUCCAGAUGCUUCCAAAGAACAAUUUUAAAUUAUCCAUAUGCCAUUUGUCACAUGUGCUGUACAGACAGUGCACCAUUUCUGUGCUCUGUAGCGCAGGGCAGAGCGACACUUCGUGGGUUUUGUUUGUUUGAAAUGAGUCUGCAUGGCAAAGAAAUCUGCUGCGUGUGAUGCCAUCGUGCCAUUUCUACAGUGAGAGCUUUUGCCAUGGCAGUUUGCAAACAGGGUGCGAGCAUUAAGUAAUUAUUAGAGCCUUCAUAGAAUCAUAGAAGGGCCUGGGUUGGAAAGGACCUCAAUGCUCAUCCAGUUCCAACCCCCUGCUAUGUGCAGGGUCACCAACCAGCAGCCCAGGCUGCCCAGAGCCACAUCCACCCUGGGCUUGAAUGCCUGCAGGGAUGGGGCAUCCACAGCCUCCUUGGGCAACCUGUUCCAGCCUUCCUGCUGUGUAAGCAUGCAUGUAAAACUGGAACACAAACUGCAACCCAGAAUGAGAUAAGUAAUUCUCCAGUCCCAUCCAAUGAGCUCUCAACAGAAUUAAACCUCGAUAUGUUUUCCUGCAGGAUGCUGUGGGCUGCUCCUCCUCCCCAUCCCACAAACGCACACUUGUCAGAGACAAUAACAAUGCUUCCUUCCCCUUCUCCUUUCUCUUCUCCUUUCCUUUCCCUUCCCCACCGCCUUUCUCUUCCUUCCAUUUUCCAUCUCUCAAUUCACAUCUCUCUCCCUGUUUGCUUUGUGUAGCUCUGCAUCACCCUACCACGUGAGCCCACUACUUCCCAAGCCCUCACACUCCCAAUCAAACUACUGCAGACCCAGACCUCCCCUCCUGGUCCUGUUGAGCGCUCAUUGCUCGGGAUGGUGACUCUUCAAUGUGGGCACAUUUAGCACAGCUCUGUUUCUUUUUUUAUAUCACCAAACUACAAAGACAAGGUUUCAUUACCUGCGUGUUCACAGCACAGUGAAGCAUUUACCUAAAAGGAGCAGGGUGCUCAGAGGGAAUGAGGGAAUGGUGCUGACACAGAGCACAAAUGAGCUCUGCUCGGUUUGCUGCCUCCUUUAACUCACCAAUACCUGGCAGCAGAGCUGGCUCCCCUGCACUUUCCUAGGAGAACUAAUCCAGCAAUUAGACCAUUCUUAAGGACAGAAAGGAAAUGACAUGUCAUGGAAGAGAAGAGGCGAGUUUGGAUUUGAUACCUGGCUUUGUGCUUGGGGCUGAUGGAGGCAUCUCCACGUGUCCCUCUGUGGACACACUGAUGGACUGCAGUGUGCCAUGGGUUUUGGCUCUUCCCCUGCCUUGCAAAGUUGCAGCGGGGCUUUGCAGAGCUAUUUUAAAUGCACUAAUUGCUUCUGGUGCUCUCCGCUCUGUGAAAACAAAUGUGCUUCAGCUGCCAAACCUCCUGGGUCACGUCCCUGUCUGGAGACCAACAGGAAACACAGCUUUUCACCCGUGGUGCCCCAGGCAUCACCCCAGCUGCUGGCUGCCCUUGUCCCCUGCCCAGUAGGGGCCCUGUGGGGCCACGGAGGGGCGAUUUGGGGACACAGAGUUCAGCACCUCUGCUCAGUAUUGGGGUGACUUAGCUGAAGGACUCCACGCCCUUGUUCAGGGGACAUCGGAUUUGUGUCCCCAGCUGCCCUGUGUGUGAUGGGAAUAGCAGGGCUGAGCUUUGUAGGCAUUCCUCAGUUUGCAGGACCCCAAGUGAUGCUUUAUCCAGAGCCAACCUUGUUCUGGGGACGUCAUUUUGGCAGAUUUUGUACCUUGUGCAUCAUGAAGGGGCUCUGAUGGGACAGCCAAGAGAGGAAAGCCCACACUGAGCAAUCCCAAUUCCCCUAUUUGUGGCGGAGUCGGGGAGAAAAACUGCAUUUCCUGACUUCAAGCUGCUUUUUUCCAUCCAAAUUGAACUCGACGCCCACGCCCUUCCCAAAGCAAGCUGACCAAGAUGGAUGGGCACACAAAACCUUUACCUCCAGCAGCAGCCAGCCCACUGCUGGCCGAUUGCUUUGUGGCCAGACUGCUGCUCUGCAAAGCCCACAGCCACUGGGAUGGAUUGCAGCCCUUCAUCUUUCGAGGCACAGCCCAUAUUUCAUCAGCCCUCUCCUGCCAUCCGGCCAUGGGAGCACAACGUGGGGUGGGUGCUGGCUGCCCACUGGUGUUUUAAUCGUGUGUCAAGAGUGGGCACAGGCAUAGGAGGGAAGCAAAUAAAGCAGACGAAAUGAGAUGCGGUAAUUAAGUUAUUCUUCAUCUUGGAGAUUGCUGUGGAGGACAAGAUUGGUACAAUGAGCCCGAGGCGCUUCUCCUUUCACUCCUCUCCAUCUCAAUGCCUGUGACACGGAAGAUGAAUAUGCAGCAUUUUCUAUUUGUGCUACUAAAACGCCCAUUAAAUGCCAGCAGGGAAAAAACGAUACACAAACGCCAGAAUUCUGCUACACUGUGUGCCUGAGAGAGACAGAGGGAGCAUCCCUCCUUUGUCUGGAGAGAGGGAGACGCUUUGGGCUGGGGGAGGGGGUGGCGAUGGGCACAGGGUCCUGAGCCUGGCAUCUCCUGCUCUGCCAAUGGAAUCAUAUUAAUGACAUUUUCAUGUAGCCGAAUGCCAUUUUCCAAUCGGGAGAUGCUGGUAAGGGAUUUACCUUUAUUUUUAAUGCCCUGUUGCAUGACCACAAGCAAGGGCUACAGGUCUCCAUGGCCAGAGCUCAGGCAGUAUUUAGCUGGAGAGCAGCAAACUGUGCCCGCCGGUCCACACUCUGUUUACACCCCUGCAGAAGGCUCCCCAUGAUGGGGUGGGAUACUGGCAGGGCACAGCAGGCCCAGUAAAUGUGUGGUGCUCCCAUGCCAGAAUUCCAGGUGACAAGCGGAG